ACACAUGCAGUCGAGCGGCGCACGGGGAGCUUGCUCCCUGGUGGCGAGCGGCGGACGGGUGAGUAAUGCAUAGGAAUCUGCCCGGUAGUGGGGGAUAACCUGGGGAAACCCAGGCUAAUACCGCAUACGUCCUACGGGAGAAAGCAGGGGCUCUUCGGACCUUGCGCUAUCGGAUGAGCCUAUGUCGGAUUAGCUGGUUGGUGAGGUAAUGGCUCACCAAGCGACGAUCCGUAGCUGGUCUGAGAGGAUGAUCAGCCACACUGGGACUGAGACACGGCCCAGACUCCUACGGGAGGCAGCAGUGGGGAAUAUUGGACAAUGGGCGCAAGCCUGAUCCAGCCAUGCCGCGUGUGUGAAGAAGGCCCUCGGGUUGUAAAGCACUUUCAGCGAGGAAGAAGGCUUGGCGGCUAAUACCCGUCAAGAAGGACAUCACUCGCAGAAGAAGCACCGGCUAACUCCGUGCCAGCAGCCGCGGUAAUACGGAGGGUGCGAGCGUUAAUCGGAAUUACUGGGCGUAAAGCGCGCGUAGGUGGUUUGGCACGCCGGUUGUGAAAGCCCCGGGCUCAACCUGGGAACGGCAUCCGGAACGGCCAGACUAGAGUGCAGGAGAGGAAGGUAGAAUUCCCGGUGUAGCGGUGAAAUGCGUAGAGAUCGGGAGGAAUACCAGUGGCGAAGGCGGCCUUCUGGCCUGACACUGACACUGAGGUGCGAAAGCGUGGGUAGCAAACAGGAUUAGAUACCCUGGUAGUCCACGCCGUAAACGAUGUCGACUAGCCGUUGGGACCUUUAAGGACUUAGUGGCGCAGUUAACGCGAUAAGUCGACCGCCUGGGGAGUACGGCCGCAAGGUUAAAACUCAAAUGAAUUGACGGGGGCCCGCACAAGCGGUGGAGCAUGUGGUUUAAUUCGAUGCAACGCGAAGAACCUUACCUACCCUUGACAUCCAGAGAACUUGGCAGAGAUGCCUUGGUGCCUUCGGGAACUCUGAGACAGGUGCUGCAUGGCUGUCGUCAGCUCGUGUUGUGAAAUGUUGGGUUAAGUCCCGUAACGAGCGCAACCCUUGUCCCUAUUUGCCAGCGAUUCGGUCGGGAACUCUAGGGAGACUGCCGGUGACAAACCGGAGGAAGGUGGGGACGACGUCAAGUCAUCAUGGCCCUUACGGGUAGGGCUACACACGUGCUACAAUGGCCGGUACAAAGGGUUGCGAGACCGCGAGGUGGAGCGAAUCCCAGAAAGCCGGCCUCAGUCCGGAUCGGAGUCUGCAACUCGACUCCGUGAAGUCGGAAUCGCUAGUAAUCGUGAAUCAGAAUGUCACGGUGAAUACGUUCCCGGGCCUUGUACACACCGCCCGUCACACCAUGGGAGUGGACUGCACCAGAAGUGGUAGCUAACUUCGGGAGG
Molecule: ribosomal RNA, 1400 nt
Filed under: Haererehalobacter sp. JG 11
Lineage: Bacteria; Pseudomonadati; Pseudomonadota; Gammaproteobacteria
Description: 16S ribosomal RNA
Rfam family: Bacterial small subunit ribosomal RNA
Source: RNAcentral